Molecule: ribosomal RNA, 301 nt
Filed under: uncultured bacterium
Lineage: Bacteria
Description: partial 16S ribosomal RNA
Rfam family: Bacterial small subunit ribosomal RNA
Source: RNAcentral
CAGCAGCCGCGGGAAUACGUAGGUGGCAAGCGUUGUCCGGAAUUAUUGGGCGUAAAACGCGCGCAGGCGGUUUUUUAAGUCUGAUGUGAAAGCCCCCGGCUUAACCGGGGAGGGUCAUUGGAAACUGGGAGACUUAGAGUGCAGAAGAGGAGAGUGGAAUUCCAUGUGUAGCGGUGAAAUGCGUAGAUAUAUGGAGGAACACCAGUGGCGAAGGCGACUCUCUGGUCUGUAACUGACGCUGAGGCGCGAAAGCGUGGGGAGCAAACAGGAUUAGAUACCCGCGUAGUCCCUGUCUCUUAUA